UCAGGGCCGAAGGGGUAGAGGAAGACCUAGGAAAACUUUGGAAGAGACCCUAAGAAAAGACUUGAGUACUUGGAUCUAACGGAGGACAUGACACAAAACCGAGCGCAAUGGCGUUCUAGGAUUCAUAUAGCCGACCCCACUUAGUGGGAAAAGGCUUUGUUGUUGUUGUUGUUGUUGUUUGAUUUGGAAGUUACCCACUUCCUAGUUAACUGGAUGAUUGUUAUAAAUUUUCAUCUUUUUUUUUUGGGAAAUUACAGGAAAGCAGAAGCAGCUUUUUUUUUAAAGCACAGCAAUACCAAACCAGCCCUAAGUCCCUUCAUCUUCAUGAUCAUCUGAAAACUUCAAUUGAUGCAGUAAGUUCUUCUUCCAACUAUAUCUUUAUAUAUGGGAAAUCCAUUGUUUAUUCGUUAUUUAUUUCAUUUUCUUCAUCUUAAUUGCAACUAAAUAUAUAUAUGGUUUCAUGUUCAACACUUUGUUAAUUGCACUAACGUUUUCAACUUCAACUGAAACCUGAUCCUCAGAAGCAAGUGUCCUCUCCUCAUGAUCUGACGACUUCCAUGUAAGUUCUUGCUAUACAUCUGCUCCUAUAUCCAUGUGAGUUUCGAGUUGUGUAACUUGUAGAGUCCUACUUUAGUAUUUUAACAUGUAAAAAGUGUUUCAUUUUUAACAUACCCGAUUGAGCCCCUGUAUAGCCGGUUGGACGGUUAUGGAAUUGUAUAAAUUUGUAUACAAUAAUUAGUUUCAUUUGUUUUAAUUGUGCAGCUGUGACUACUUGUGAGUCUUGAUUGGUAUUGCUCAACGGAUCAAACUUCCAAUUCAAGAAACUAUGCCGGGAGAGGCUUUUCUUGUGGCAUUCCUCCAAGUGCUGGUUGACAAGUUGGCGCAACGUGAGGUCUUGAAGUACUUUGGACUCGUAAAGGGCGUCGAUCAAAACCUGAAGAAAUGGAGUGCCACCUUGUCUGCAAUUGGAGCGGUUCUGAAUGACGCGGAGGAAAGGCAACUGAUGGCUGAGAGCAACGCACUGAAGCUCUGGCUCGAUGAUCUCAAGGACUUGGCUUUUGAUGCGGAAGACAUGUUGGAUAAAUAUCAUACUAAAAUGUUGAAACGUCAGAUACAACAUGCUCAUUCCAGCACAAGAAGCAAAGCAUGGAAAUCAAUUCCUAAUCGUGUUUUCAACUUCAAAAUGAACUCGGAAAUACAGAAGAUUUCCGAGCGAUUACAAGAGAUAUCUGAAAGAAAAGACCAGCUUAGUUUGAAAAUUGAUACUAGGACAUUGACUACAAAGGCACGCCAACACAUAUCGCCGAGUACUAGUCUACCAGAUGGACCUGUGAUUGGAAGGGAUGAGGACAAAGGGAAGAUUGUUGAGCUGCUGUCGAAACAAGAGCAUCGGGCUGUCAAUUUCGAGGUAGUUGCAAUUGUCGGUAUGGCUGGAGUCGGAAAGACAACACUUGCUGGACAAGUACUUAAAGAUAUGGUUGCAACCCAAAUGUUUCAACCAGCCGUUUGGGUGUGCGUAUCUGACGACUUCAACCUUGAAAGAGUGACAAAGCAAAUUCUUGAAUCAAUCACAUCUCGGCAAUGUACCACAGAAGAUUACAAUAAGGUUCAAAAUGAUUUGCAUAAGAAGUUAGCGGGGAAAAAGUUUUUAAUUGUUUUAGACGAUGUUUGGAAAACGUGUAGCUACGGUGAAUGGAAGAAGCUGCAGUCCACUUUUCAUGAUGGAGCACAAGGAAGCAAGAUAGUUGUGACAACACGUGAUACAGAUGUUUCAAAAAUGAUGGGAGCUGCCACGCUGGUUCACAAUUUGGUGCCUAUGGAAAAUCAUUUUUGUUUACAAGUAUUUGAGCAGCAUGCAUUCUUAAAUUCUAACGACAAGCCAUCAAAUUACGAGUUACUUAAGGAGAAAAUUGUUGCAAAGUGUAGGGGAUUGCCUUUGGCCGCGAGGACCCUUGGUGGUGUUCUACUUCGUAGAGAAAUAGACGAAUGGGAAGAACUAUUGAACAACAAGUUGUGGAGUCUCUCAAAUGAGCAUGACAUACUUCCUGUGUUGAGACUAAGUUACUUUUAUCUUCCUUCACAUUUGAAAAGAUGCUUUGCCUAUUGCUCAAUAAUUCCAAAUGACUAUGAAUUCGGGGAGAUGCAAAUGAUCCUUCUGUGGAUGGCCGAGGGUUUGAUUCAUCCUCAACCAGAAGAUAAUAAGCAAAUUGAAGAUUUAGGUGCUGAUUAUUUUCGGGAGCUCGUAUCUAGGUCAUUGUUUCAAAAGUCAACCAAAAAUACUUCAAAAUAUGUGAUGCAUGACCUCAUUGGUGAUUUAGCACGAUGGGCAGCUGGAGAUAUUUGUUUUAGAUUGGAGGAUAAGCAAAAUGAUGAUGGUGUACAACUUAGAUGUUUUCCGAAGGCUCGCCAUUCGUCUUACAUUAUCGGUCGUUAUGAUGGGGUUAAAAGAUUUGAGGCAUUUUCUGAAGUGAAAUGUAUGCGAACCUUCUUGCCACUCAGAAAGGGUUCUGCCUACAAUUAUUUAAGCCAUCAGGUUACUUCUGAUUUAUUGCCAAAAUUGCAGUACUUGCGGGUGCUUUCUUUUAAUGGCUAUAGAAUAACUGAGCUGCCAAACUCAAUUGGUGAUUUGACAUAUCUACGGUAUCUUGACCUUUCCUACACAGCUAUAAGUAGUUUGCCUAAAUCGAUAAGUACUCUUUACAACUUGCAGACAUUGAUAUUGGAAUGCUGUUACGGUUUGAAGUCAUUGCCUGCAGACAUGAGUAAUCUAAUUAAUUUGCGCCAUCUCAACAACUCAGAUGUAUCUUCGUUGGAAGGAAUGCCUCUAAAACUAGGUAGAUUGGUGAAUCUCCAAUCUUUGCCUAAUUUUAUGGUCAAUGCUGGAAGUGAUCAAUCAAGAAUACGAGAGAUGGGGCCCCUAUCGCAUCUCCGAGGGACAUUGUGCAUCUCAAGAUUGGAGAAUGUGACUGAUGUUGAGGAUGCUCAAGGGGCCAACUUAAAAUACAAGGCGAGGCUUGAUUCGUUGGUCCUAAAAUGGUCUCAUUCAAGUGACACAAGAGAAAUGGAAUCUGCUGUGCUUGACAUGUUAGAGCCUCAUAGAAAGAUCAAGGAGCUCACCAUCAAGAGUUAUGCCGGCAAGGAAUUUUGAACAUGGGUUGGAGGUCAUUUGUUCUCCAAUAUGGUGCUUGUGCGCUUAGAGGAAUGUAAUAAUUGUUUGUCGUUGCCACCUCUUGGACAAUUGCCUCUACUCAAAGAACUUUAUAUUAGAGGAAUGAAUGCAGUGGAAAGUGUUGGUGCUGAGUUUUAUGGAGAUCGUAACUUGCCCUUUCGGGUAUUAGAGACUCUUGAGUUUGUGGAAAUGCAGCAUUGGAAAGAAUGGCUUCCUUUCCAACUGGAUCAUGAAAGUGGUGUUUUCCCUUACCUGAAAACACUCUUAGUAAAAAAAUGUUCUAAACUGGAGGGUAAGCUGCCAGAGAACCUCAAUUCUUUAGCUAAGCUUGAAAUUGUUGUUGAAAAAUUGUUGAAUGUGAAGAAUUAGUGGUUUCAACUGCCAACUACAAACGACUUUGUCAAUUAAACAUUGACGGUUGUGAAGUGUUGGUGCAUACAGCUGCUAAGGUUGAGUUUGAGUUAUUAGAGUCUUUGUGCCUUUCAAACAUUUCGGAGGUGAUGUCUCUGCAAACAGGGGAUUUGUUCAACAAGGGAUUAACCAAGGUUAGAGAUUUGAAGAUUAAUGGAUGUGAGGAGGUGAUAUCUUCAUUGAAGAAUGAGGGUAGAUUAUUUCAACAGUUGACUUCUCUUGGCCGUUUGGAAAUCGAAGACAACUCUCCUCUAGUUGAAGAAUUGGGAAAAGAAGCAGAGGAAUUGCAAAUAUUGGAGUGUAGGAUUGAAUGUCUAGAGUUAAACAACAACAACAACAACAACAAAGCCUUUUCCCACUAAGUGGGGUCGGCUAUAUGAAUCCUAGAACGCCAUUGCGCUCGGUUUUGUGUCAUGCCCUCCGUUAGAUCCAAGUACUCUAAGUCUUUUCUUAGAGUCUCUUCCAAAGUUUUCCUAGGUCUUCCUCUACCCCUUCGGCCCUGAACCUCUGUCCCGUAGUCACAUCUUCGAACCGGAGCGUCAGUCGGCCUUCUUUGCACAUGUCCAAAUCACCAGAGCCGAUUUUCUCUCAUCUUUCCUACAAUUUCGGCUACUCCUACUUUACCUCGGAUAUCCUCAUUCCCAAUCUUAUCCUUUCUCGUGUGCCCACACAUCCCACGAAGCAUCCUCAUCUCCGCUACACCCAUUUUGUGUACGUGUUGAUGCUUCACCACCCAACAUUCUCUGCCAUACAACAUCGCUGGCCUUAUUGCCGUCCUAUAAAAUUUUCCCUUGAGCUUCAGUGGCCUACGACGGUCACACAACACGCCGGAUGCACUCUUUCCAUCCAGCUCGUAUUCUAUGGUUGAGAUCUCCAUCUAAUUCUCCGUUCUCUUGCAAGAUAGAUCCUAGGUAACGAAAACGGUCGCUUUUUGUGAUCUUCGCUAGAUUGCUCCGGUCAUUAGUGUGGAUAAGUAUAUAAAUGGAUAGAGAUAGGAAAGCAAACACAAGAUGUACGUGGUUCACCCAGAUUGGCUGCGUCCACGGAAUAGAAGAGUUCUCAUUAAUUGGGAAGGGUUUACACAAGUACAUAGGUUCAAGCUCUCCUUUAGUGAGUACGAGUGAAUGAUUUAGUACAAAUGACAUUAGGAAAUAUUGUGGGAGAAUGAUCUCGUAAUCACGAAACUUCUAAGUAUCGGAGUGUGGUGUCGUCUUGACUUGCCUUAUCUGUCUCAUAGGUAGAUGUGGCAUCUUCUCUGGAAGUACUCUUCCUCCAUCCAGGGGUGGUAUCUUUAACUGGUGGAGAUGCACAAGGUAAUGUAUCAAUUUCAUUUGAAGCUUACUUGUAGUUUCAGGCUUGGUCAAGCGCGAUACAAACCAUGUAGUAGGAGUCCCCCAAGUCGCCGAGCUAGGGGGUCUGCUGAAAGCGUUGACAGACAAGGUAAGCAAUCAGAGCUCCGACUGAUUGUUCACCUUCUCCCCAUCUUGCAGCAGCAUGAAGGAUAAAGAGAAGAAAAAUGAGAAGAGAUGAUAUGAGAUACUUUUGCUUUUGAAGAAGUAACUUUCCACAGGCUUAUUCUUGAACUGAGCUGGAGGGUUUUCUGGUUUCCUCCAGAGUAUAAGGCCGACUGAAGAAUUUGAGGGUCAAAACAAGUCCAUCAAAUCUAGAGUACGUUCCACCCUGCUGAUAUGGGAUACUUUUGCUUUUGACAGAGUAAUGGAUGUAUCGGCACGUGUGCUGUUACGCUUGUCUCCACAUGCUUCCUUGUAUCCUUCGCACUUGCCCUAUCUGUUCCUCAAGCAGAUGCGGAAUCUUCCCUGGAAACAUAAGAUGAUGAAGAUGAGUACUCGAGAGCAAUGCCAGGUAAGUAAUCAGGUAAGGGGUUCCAGGCAGUCAGUUCCUGGCUGGAAGCUUGAUUCCAAGUGCUGACUGAUUGCUCUCUUUCUCCUUGUCUUGCAGGUAAAAACAAGGCCAAAAGAAAAAACAGGGAAAAAGCAUGAUAUGGGAUACUCUUGCUUUUAACCCUGAUGAUAUGAGAUAUUCUUGCUCUAGUAUAGCUUGUUUGCAGAGGUAUUAUCGGGGGGAAAGAAAGCUGAAUAUUUCGAAAGGCUUUGUUGGGAGUGCCCUCUCAGAUAUGAUGAAGGGUUGAGCAUUUUUGCAGGUCUGCCUGUCCGUUGGGGAUGGAGGUCGACAUAUAUAGGCGUCUCCCUAACAACAAGUAGUAAUGCUAUUCCUUUACCCUGCUUGGUCAUAGCACGGUAGUGGGAGCUGCCAGUUUCACAUGUUUUAACUCUGUCAGAGCACUUUGAAAAAGUGGUCUGUGGUAUCUGGCUCUCGAGAUUCGGAGAACGAUGCCUCUUCGAUUUUUGAGAAAGCAAUUAUGCUGGGGGUCUGACUCUCGAGAUUCGGAGAGCAGUGUCUCUUCGAUUUUUGAGGAAGUAAUCAUGUUGGGAGUCUGGCUCUCGAGAUUCGGAAGACGGUGCCUCUUCGAUUUUGGAGCAAGCAAUCUUGUUGGGAGUGUUGUCUCGAAUGUGAGUAAAGGUUGGACAUGUUUGCUAGUCUACCUUGCCACGAAGCACAAAGGUUGACACACAGGGACUUUCCAAUUAUCCAGCAAUGGUACUGUUCCUUUACCCUCUCUUCGAUUUUGAGAAAGUAGUCAUGUUGGGAGUCUGGCUCUCGAGAUUCGGAGGACGGUGCCUCUUCGAUUUUGGAGCAAGCAAUCUUGUUGGGACUGUUUUCUCGAAUGUGAGUAAAGGUUGGGCAUGUUUGCUAGUCUACCUUGCCACGAAGCACAGAGGUUGACACACAGGGACUUUCCAAUUAUCCAGCAGUGGUACUGUUCCUUUACCCUUGUGGGUAAUAAUAUGGUAGCUAGACCUUCAAAAUUUAUGUGUCUAAACUUUGUUAGUGCCGUUUCUUUGCUAUUCUUUUACCUUUCUUGGUCAGAGCGAUGUAGUGGGAGCUGCAAGCUUCACGUGCUCAACUUUGGCAGAGAACUUUGGCAAAGUGAUCUGUGGUACCCAUGAGUUAUUGUUGCGUGUGGGAAGUGGGUGAUUGAACAGUAAGAUUCAUGUGCUUUCUACUUCACCAGAAGUCUUCGACAGAAUGCCCAUAAUUUCUGCAAAGCUGAGUGUGCGUGUGACAGGUGCUGACAAGGCUAGAAAAGUAGGUGCCUCUUCGAUUUCUGAGAUCGGCCCUCGUGGUCUCUGAGCAGCCCAGCUUUUGAGAAAGCGAGCGCCUCUUCGAUUGAUUCGGAGAAUGGUGCCUCACCGAUUUUUGAGAAAGCAAUCAUGCUGGGGGUCUGGCUCUCGAGAUUCGGGGAGCAGUCUCUUCGAUUUUUGAGAAAGUAAUCAUGUUGGGAGAGUGGCUCUCGAGAUUCGGAGGGCGGUGCCUCUUCGAUUUUGGAGCAAGCAAUCUUGUUGGGAGUGUUUUCUCGAAUGUGAGUAAAGGUUGGGCAUGUUUGCUAGUCUACCUUGCCACGAAGCACAGAGGUUGACACACAGGGACUUUCCAAUUAUCCAGCAAUGGUACUGUUCCUUUACCCUCUCUUCGAUUUUUAAGAAAGUAGUCAUGUUGGGAGUCUGGCUCUUUAGAUUCGGAGGACGGUGCCUCUUCGAUUUUGGAGCAAGCAAUCUUAUUGGGAGUGUUUUCUCGAAUGUGAGUAAAGGUUGGGCAUGUUUGCUAGUCUACCUUGCCACGAAGCACAGAGGUUGACAUACAUGGACUUUCCAAUUAUCCAGCAGUGGUACUGUUCCUUUACCCUUGUGGGUAAUAAUAUGGUAGCUAGACCUUCAAAAUUUAUGGGUCUAAACUUUGUUAGUGCUGUUUCUUUGCUAUUCUUUUACCCUUCUUGGUCAGAGCGAUGUAGUGGGAGCUGCAAGCUUCACGUGCUCAACUUUGGCAGAGAACUUUGGCAAAGUUAUCUGUGGUACCCAUGAGCUUAUUGUUGCGUGUGGGAAGUGGGUGAUUGAACAGUAAGAUUCAUGUGUUUUCUACUUCCCCAGAAGUCUUUGACAGAAUGCCCAUAAUUUCCGCAAAGCUGAGUGUGCGUGUGACAGGUGCUGACAAGGCUGGAAAAGUAGGUGCCUCUUCGAUUUCUGAGAUCGGCCCUCGUGGUCUCUAGGGAGCCCAGCUUUUGAGAAAGCGAGCGCCUUUUCGAUUUCUGAGAUCGGCCUUCGUGGUCUUUGAGCAGCCCAACUUUUGAGAAAGCAAACGGCUCUUCGAUUUCUGAGAUCAACCCUCGUGAUCUCUAAGCAGCCCAACUUUUGAGAAAGCAAACGCCUCUUCGAUUUCUGAGCAGGCGCCUCUUUGAUUUCUGAAGCUCCGUCGAGUGCAGAUUUUUAUAGAGGCUGGCAUUAAGUUCCAAAGCACACUUGAAUCUCCACCAGUAGAAGCUUCAUUCUUGCACUUCUAAGAUCUUGAUUUGUCCGACCUCUUCUCUCUUCAACACCUUUGAAAAUGUCUGGCCCUCCGACCGUCGUUUUGACUUGAACCUUGUUGAAGAGGCAGCCCCGCCUUCUCCAGACAACAUAUGGCGCCCAUCCUUUGUCUCCCCAACUGGUCCUCUUACCGUUGGGGAUUCCGUGAUGAAGAAUGAUAUGACCGCUGCGGUGGUGGCCAGGAACCUUCUCACUCCCAAAGAUAACAGACUACUUUCCAAACGGUCUGAUGAGUUAGCUGUUAAGGAUUCGCUGGCUCUCAGUGUUCAGUGUGCAGGUUCUGUGUCUAAUAUGGCCCAACGCCUAUUUGCUCGAACCCGCCAAGUUGAAUCAUUGGCGGCUGAAGUAAUGAGUCUCAAACAGGAGAUUAGAGGGCUCAAGCAUGAGAAUAAACAGUUGCACCGGCUCGCACAUGACUAUGCUACAAACAUGAAGAGGAAGCUUGACCAGAUGAAGGAAACUGAUGGUCAGGUUUUACUUGAUCAUCAGAGAUUUGUGGGUUUGUUCCAAAGGCAUUUAUUGCCUUCGUCUUCUGGGGCUGUACCGCGUAAUGAAGCUCCAAAUGAUCAACCUCUGAUGCCUCCUCCUUCUAGGGUUUUGUCCAGUACUGAGGCUCCAAAUGAUCCCCCUCCGGUGCCUUCUCUUUCUGGGGCUCUACCGACUGCUGAGACUUCUCCUAAGCAACCUUUGUGAAGGCUCCCUCUGUGUGUUUAUUUUGACUCAUGUAUAUGUACAUAUUUGUAGCUUAUCGGGGAUAUCAAUAAAUAAGCUUUCCUUCAUUUCAACGUAUUGUGUUAAAUACACCAAAGCAACCAAAAGGGUUAAAUCAGUUGUCAUCUCUUCAAAAGCUUGGCAUACAUGAAUGUUCACAUCUAGUUUCUUUCCCAAAUGUUGGUCUGCCACCUUCUCUUAAAGACAUCGAGAUGACAUCGUGCGAUUCGUUGAUAUAUUUUACAAAAUUCCAGAUUCCCCAAAAUCUCAGAAGAAUAGAGAUAAGAGAGUGCAAAAAUUUGAAAUCACUAGUAGAUGAGGAGGCUGUUGGUUCUUCUUGGUCGUCUUAUUCUCAUAGUUGUCUUGAGUACUUGUUUAUCGAUGGAUGUGAAUCUCUGACGUCGUUAUCAUUGAGUGGCCAGCUUCUCAGGACACUUAAACACCUUCAGACAUACAGAUGUAAACAACUGGAGCUAAUCGCAGAGGACGGGUCCUUCAACGACAACACCAAUCACUGCCUUGAAUAUAUUGAGAUCUGGAAUUGCCAAAAUCUGAAAUCCUUACCGGAUGGAUUAUGCCACCUCAGCAAUCUUCAAAAGCUACAUAUUGAAAGAUGUGGAAGUCUUGUUUCCAUCCCGAGACUGAGUGGGGGGAGAAGACCCUCCAACCUGAGAAAUAUCUGUAUCAUCUAUUGCGAGAAAUUGGAGGCGUUGCCCGAAGACAUGCACAAUCUCAACUCUGUUGAGGAAUUGAGAAUUGACUACCAUGAAGGUUUGACUUUUCCUCCCAACCUAACAUUACUUCAUAUUUGGAAGGUCAAGAGUUGUAAGUCAUUGUGGGAGUUGGAGUGGGGGUUGCACAGACUCACCUUUCUUAGCAAGUUGGGGAUCUAUGGUGAUGACCCGGGUACGAUGUCGUUUCCACCCGACAUGGUCCGCAUGGAGACGCUCCUCCCUAAAUCUCUCGCUCAUCUCUCAAUACAUAGCUUCCCGAAUCUGAAGAAAUUGAGCGGCAAAGGCUUUCAAUUCCUCACCUCCCUUCAAUCUCUUAGACUCUGGAAUUGUCCAAAGCUAGCAUCCAUUCCAGAUGAGGGUCUGCCUCCUUCACUUACGCAACUUUGGAUCUCUGGGUGUCCAGUGCUAAAAGAGAGAUGCCAACCAGGAAAAGGACACUACUGGCACAAAAUAUCCCACAUCCCUUCCAUACAGAUAUAGAUUUUAAGAUAUUUGAAGCUAAUGGUCGAUUUGAUCCCAUUCUCUACGUCCAGGUAUCAUCUUCUGAAGAAAUGUUUUAUUAUUAUUUUCAUGUAAAGUAGAGUAUUAUUAUUAUUAUUAUUAUUAUUAUUAUUAUUAUUACUAGCAUUUGCCUACACACUUUGUGUGUAUCAACACAUUUUUUUAGAAAAUGAGAAGGAGAGAGGGAGAGAGACAGAGAGAGAGAACGUGAGGGGAGUGAGAGGUUUUUUUUUUGGUUUUUUCUUUUUUUUAAUAUUGGAGGUAUUUUAACAUCAUCUGUAGGUGAGGCUUCAAUAAAAAACAGUAAAAUUUGGACCUGUGAAAUUACAUUAUUGCCCAUCAUUUUUUUUUUGUGUGAUAGAAGACUAAUUUGUCUUUUCAUCAUCUUUUGGUUGACAAAGAGGAUUUCAUUAAUUAGUAGAGAUUAUCAUCUUUAUUCAUGUAAGAUCUACUUUAACUAUUAGAGUAAAACUUAAAUUUUAGAUUCCAAACCUAUUCCAAGUUGUUUCAACCUUGAGGCAAAUAUGAGUUUUAUAGCAAAUUUAGCCCAUAAUUCCUUCCGGGUUAGUGGGUUGGCCCACCAUAUAUGUGUAUUUUUCUUUUAAUUUUAUAUUUAUAAAUUCAUUAAAUCCAACGGAAAAGAUCUAAUAAUCUAACUGUAAAGAAUGAAAACAUUCCCUUCCUUUUUGUUUUCUCCUUUUUGCAUUUCUUCUACUAUAUCUAUUGGUUAGUUUCGCUUUAUUUUGUUAAAUUCUAUAGAUAAAAAGAUUAUAUGUACAGAAGGAGAAAAUUAAAAGAUUUAAUAGUUCAAAUUUAAAUUCAACGGCUAAAAUAAUUAGAAAAAUCUUUUCAUGUGUUUCAUAUUCUUUCAUAAUGUUUCACAAGUUUCAUGUUGUCAGUUUAGUAAUUUUUUAAUAUUUAUCGGAAUCUAAAUAUUUUUCCAAUAUUUUCAUGUGUUUCUUUUCUUGCGUUCCUCGCAACACUAGUGUAUUUGGAGCCCGUGGGAUCUCGAUCGAGUUGGGUGAGCAGGAUAGUUUUGUUGAAUUUGAAUAUGAUUUCCUGGCCUUGGAGGCAGAGGAUUCGGAAAACUGGGAAUCUGGUGUGGUGAAAAGAAAUGCAGGAAAUGAUUUGAUCUUGAAGGGACCAUUUGGAUCUCCACAUGGCCAAUCCUUGGAUUUGAUUGGUUCUGAUGAUACAAAGCCUGAGCUUGAGGGGUUCGUUAUGCAAACAGAUGAUGAACCAACAAGCAUUGCUGGAAAGGGAGUUGGCUUUGACGAGUGGAACCUUCCAAGCACUACAAUUGAACAUGCCAGCAUUCUGGAGCAGCUACUGCAUGCUCUUCUGCUUCAUAUAAGUUGCAUAAUAAUCCAAAUCUCUACCAGUCUGUUCCAACUGGGCUUCUAGAGGGUGUGGAUAUGAGGACCAUGAAUGAUGCUGCCAAGCAAUUAAGGGAUGAUCAUAGUUGCUGAGGAAGUUGGCCAGGUGUUUUAUGCAAGGUCCUAUUCUGAUUGCCUAUUAAAUCAUAGUUGUCAAUCUAGUUGGGAUACUAAGAAACCUUAUAUGUCUCCAGUAGGGAAACUUUGGGAUAUAACUGGUUCAAGGACUAGCAGUUCAAGGAAGCGAGGAAGCUUAAAUCCGGAGCUUCCCUGCAUCAGUGAAGAAAAUGAGAAUGCAGAUGAGGUAGCUGAUAUUUUCCAAGAUGGCAUUGUUUCAGAUGCAUUAAAUAGCUCAAUACAAAGAGUACCCCUUGCUGACAUUACUGAGAUUUAAACCCUCCUGCAUCAGUUUCUAAAGCUGAACCAUAUGCAGAUAGACUUAGUCUAGAUUCCGUGAACACUGAAAUCAGCUUUACAGGCACUCAUAAGAGCUUCAAACAGAGGCUUGGAAUCCAAAACAGCAGCAAGAGAAGAUAUAACAAUAAGGAGACAAACGAUAUUAAGAGGACCACUGGAUCACUUCAUAACAUGUUCAGUAAACCAAAAUUAUCUGGAAAAACCAGUUUGAGAAAAGGUGGUCCAAGUUUGUCAGAGCAGGAGCCGAAACGUAACAAUAUCGUGUCCAGCAUGACUUCUUUCAUUCCACUUGUUCAACAGAAACAAGCAGCUGCAGUUAUAACAGGUAAUUUCUUACUAGUAAUCUUAAUCUUGAACUUUGGAUGUUGCUUACAUGUACAUUUCCAUAUGAUUGUUUUUCGAGUAUGGAUAAUAAUCGUAUGUCUAAACUGGGUUACAGUAUGGAUGAUGGUUUUGUUUUUACUGAAUUAGGGAAUGUUUUGUUUCGGAGGACAUGACACAAAACCGAGCGCAAUGGCGUUCUAGGAUUCAUAUAGCCGACCCCACUUAGUGGGAAAAGGCUUUGUUGUUGUUGAUGUUGUUGUUGUAGGGAAUGUUUUGUUUGGAGCUUUAAAUUGGUAAUGCAUAUCUUGGGAUCAUCGAGUAAAAAUUAGAGUGCAUGUUUGAAAGUCCCAUGAAAAUUGAGUUGCCUUAUUAUCCUUCAAAAGAAAAAAUUAUAGGUGACUUCAACUUGUCGUAAGGAUCUUGAUAGUGAUUCAUUUGUUUUUUAAUUGUAUCAUUGUGAAUGUCUUAUAAGCAUUCUGGGAUAUUUUUCUUUUCUUUGUUUUUUCUUUUUCUCGAAUGAAUUAGUAUUUUGACCUAUUUGUGCUCUCUUGCAGCUGAAGCUACAAGCGUCUUGCAGAAAAGAAAGAGAAUGAACGCAAGAUGAAGAAGGAAGCCUUGAAACUUCACCAGUCAAGAAUGGAGCAGGAGAAUAUGAAGCAGUUGGAGCUGCAGAAAAAAAAGAAAGAAGAAGAGAGGAAGAAAAAAGAAGCUGAUAUGGCAUCAAAGAAGAGACAAAGGGAAGAGGAAGAAAGGAAGGAGAAGGAAAGAAAAAGAAUGCGUGUUGAAGCCCGUAGACAGCAGAGAGAACAUGAAUACAAGUUACCUGCUGAAAAAGUAGAGAAUGAAAUGAAAAGCCAGGCCAUUGUAUGAUUCUUUAUGCUCUGCCUCAUUUCAUUAUAUCUUUUCUUUUUUGCAAUGUUAGGUAUCACAUUCUACAUUGUGCUUUCUUGUGCAGGAUGGAAGCGGCCCUGGCGGUAAGAAAUCUAAGGAUGAAACGCCACAUAAGAAAAUGGAGGCAGAAAGGGGAUUUGACAAUUCCAGAAAUAUUUCGGAGACUGAGCCUAGUACUUCCAGGAUUUCAAUAAGCAACGCUGGAAGAGAAAGUAUUGUCCAUGAAGAGUUCCAUGAGGCCUGGGAGUAAUUAUGGGUAUAAAGCAGAGGUAAAUGCUGGUGACUUUUUUUUUAACAAUCGAUACACACCAUAUGUUAGGAUCUACUUGCAUGUUGAGUGCUUUUUACUUGCAUAGUCUGGAGCAGAGUGAUAAACUGUGAGCGUAGCAUGAAUUAUAAUCCUCUGUUGAUGUAGUUUGCAUGGGACCUUUAAACUUGUUGGGUUUUAACUCUUUUGAGGCCUUCCUUUUGCUAUCGUUACCACAAUAUAGGAAAGAAGGCUACAAUCGACUAAGUGCAAGAGUUCUCUUAUGUUAAAACUCCUAAUAGCUUAUUGUAAACUCAAAUCUGAACCACUGGUAGAAAGCUUUCUUAUGCAUGAAUAGCUGCAUACUUUUGUGCUCUUUUACCUUCUCUGUAAAGCCUUGUGCUGAUACUUCCUGUGAUAUUUAAGGUACCGAGCGAUUUAGACAAAGAAAUGGAGAAUUCAAUUGGCAUUACAAGUCAAGAGCAGUCUUAUGACAUCUCUCCAUACAAAGAAUCAGAUGAUGAAAAUGACGAUGAUGACAAUAUCAUACCGAAUAGUAAAUUUAUUCCUUCAUGGUCAAGGUAUGUUUUUCAAUUGUUAUAUAUGAAAUAUGGUUUAGAUCUUCAAAUUAUAGAGCAUCACAGUCAUCUCGGUGAUAUGUAUUUUAGAAGGCAUAGAUUGUGUACCCUUUGAAACUGUCAACUCAGCUGGGCUCUAAAAAAUAAUCUGUUGUUUGGUUCUCGUUUUGUACAGUAAAAAACUGCCUGGCUUUUGCUGUUUCUUGCCAGAAUAGAGCAGACCCAGGGACGAUCUUCCCCCCAGAAAGCUUUUGCUGCAUCUCUGAAGGUACUUUUAUGGUGUAAAGCCAUGGUCUUAGUAGCUAUUGCUUUGGCAUUUUUGGCUAGUUAAUUUUUAGAUACCGCUGGACUAAGUUCCAAUAUGCUCAUUUGCAGUCCUCUUGCCUCGAAACCAUCAAUUAAACAACAGCAGAAUGCGUUAAACUCUACUCAGUAUAUUCUUCAGUAAUAAGAGCUUUUGGUCAAGAAGAGGUAAUGCUUACCUUUAUUCUCCAUUUUCCUUUCCGUGCUCUAAACUACAUUUGUGCUGGCAGUUUGGUUGUUAAAGGAGCAAUUUUCCUUCUGCAAAAUGUAAAAUGCCUUGAGUUACUGCCUAUCAAAACCAAAAUACUUGUAAUAAUUGGUUUUCGUUUCUCGUUGCAGAUUUUCAAAGUCUAUUUGUGAACAGUUUCUUGAGCAGGCGACACCCUUUCAAGCUGACAUGUAAUUGUUAUCUCAAAUAAUUUCCCGACUGAUUGUAGUUGAGAAGAGUGACAAGUUCCAUUGGCAGAAGGCCAAUUUCCUGAGCUAUUGAGUAAUUUGGUCAUCGCCUCCUGCUGCUUUCUUGCUUCUUUGGCGCAGUCACUUUGGUAUGCACUGGUUUUAAUUUAACUUUUAACCUCAUUCUCCUCAAGGAUGAUAAGUGAAUGCUAGAAAUGUAUGUGUUUUGGUAUGGGGGUGUUGUAAGAUUAUGUAUAUAUAAAGCAAUCUUUAUUGCCUUUAUUCUUCCUCUUUUGGUCAAUUUGCUUAUUCACGAUCAUACACCAAAAGGUUGAACAUUGAAUCAUAUACUUGUUUUCCAAAAAUAAAACUUUGCAACUCUUGAAAGCAUAUAUAAAUUUGCUACACGAACUAGUAUAGAGAAGUCCAUAUGAGGUUAGAAUACAAAAUUGCACCUAUAAAGCCGCAUACUUGAUUUGAGUUAAGUUGAUUAGAGCGGUGUGCUCACUUUUUUGCACCCAAGUUGAAUUUAGUAUAAAUUAUUCUAUGGUUUGUUAAAAAAAACAAAAAAACAAAAAAAUUCAUGAAUAAUUCGAUGUAACGCGAUGUUUAAACGCAAAACUUGAGCGAGACAUUAGCGGAAUGAUUUCAAUCCCCACCACAAAUUUGCUACACCAACUAGUAUAGGGCCUUGUAUCCGUAUCGGAUGGAAGAUGUCCAAGAGGACGCUUUCUGAAAAAAAACAGCACAUAUCACAGCCCUGAUGCAUAGUCUGAAAACUUUCUGAUACAAAUCACCAACUGGGUAUGCUCAAAGUUUACAAAUUUCCAAUUGGGUAAGCUCAAAAGUUGACAAAUUCCCAAUUGGGUAAGCUCAAAGUUCACAAAUUGUCAAUUGAGUAAGCUCAUAUUACAAUAUUCACUUAACAUAGCAAUUUUUAAAAUGUGUGAUCAAAAGUGUAAUGAUUUGUCAAAAUGUGCCUAUUGUGAUUAAUUAUCCUUGUAUUAUUCAACCAAUGUCAUAUCAGAACGACAAUGUACUCGCUCUAUGAAAAUUCUUCGCAUCGGUUACAUUUUAGACUGUACACAUGAAAGUCAUUCAAAACAUAAUAACAGUUGCCAUGCGUUUUCCUGGUCUCCCAAAUGAUCAAGUUUGUUUUCUUGUCCUUUGUGUUUUGUUAAGUAGUUCCUGCAAUUUUGCCCCCUUUUUCUGAUUAAUAUAUGAAGGGCAUGAACCUUCGCAUAUAAAAUUGAUUAAACAGCAGUUUUAAAAAGUGAAAUCAAAAGUGCCACAAUUUGUCAGAAGUUGUCCACUGUGAGUUUGUGACUAAUCGCCCUUGUCUUAUUCGAGCAAUGUGAUAUCACAUCAAUGGUGUACUCGUUUUAUGGAAAUUCUUCAUGACCGUUAUAUUUUAGACAAGACAAAUGAAUGAAUCAUUCAAAACAUAAAGUUUUUCUAAUUUUUUUUUUCUUUGAUGUUAAGUUUCUCUGUUAUUUAUUUGAAAUAUUAACUCAAUAGUGAACUAGAUAAGUGAUUCUUGUAGAAAGAAUACAACUUUCUAACUUUUCUUGUUCGUGGAUUGUCGUGGGGAUACCGGAAUUGCAACUUUUCUUGCAUGUGUUGUUGGUGGAAUACUGACACAAUCGCAAACCUAAUUCUUUUAAACUUUCGUUUGGUAGCUUCUUAUCUUUUAGGUUUUGUUUUAGAGGCGUUUGGUCUUAUGUCCUUUUUGUUGUGUAUUUUCUUUAUCAAGAUGAGUAAAGUUUAUGUCACAAUCGCAAACCUAAUUCUUUUAAACUUUGUUUGUAGCUUCUUAUCUUUUAGGUUUUGUUUUAAAGGCGUUUGGCCUUAUGUCCUUUUUGUUGUGUAUUUUCUUUAUCAAAAUGAGUAAAGUUUAUGUCACAAUCGCAAACCUAAUUCUUUUAAAUUUUGUUUGUUUUGUAGCUUCUUAUCUUUUAGGUUUUGUUUUAGAGGCGUUUGGUCUUAUGCACUUUUUGUUGUGUGUUUUCUUUAUCAAGAUGAGUAAAGUUUAUGUCAUUCUCUCAUUAGUUGCAACUUUUUUUUAAAUAUCAAUAAAAUUUCCUUGUACCACCGAGGUUCUACUAGAACAAAAUGACAAAUGAUAGAUAAUCUACCCUAAAUUCAUCUAAAUUAUGAAAAACGGAGAAGAAUUUAGACCCAAAACACAAUAGUUGGAAGAGAAAAACCUUGUCUCAAGAUAACCCACAAUUUGUGAUAUUUCACUCCGUCAUGAAAAUCCUGCUCAAUUUUCAUUCCUUAAACAUCUAUUCAGGAUAUGGUAAGUAAAGCGUGGAGAUUAGUCACAGCCCUUGUGACUAAACGAUGGUAAAGCUGAAGCAGUCCGCAUGGUGGUAACUUUGGUAAUAUCUAGUGCCGGCAGGAUGAAGCUGAAGCUGAAGCUCGUAUAAGAAAACAAAUAUAAAAGAUAAAGAAAAGGUAAAAGACAAAUAUCAUGACCCCACGACAAUGAAAAGAAAGAAAAAAAAAAAGGAAUUAUCAUAGCAAAUUGAAUUAUUGAAGAGUUCUAAAGUCUUUGUCAUCUGGGUUCUGGAUUCGUUGACUUUCAUAACUCAUAAGCGAUCAGAUGAGUUCAAUGGAAACAAGUCCCUUCAUCUUCAUGAUCAUCUGAAAGCUUCAAUUGAUGCAGUAAGUUCUUCGUCCAACUAUAUCUAUAUGGGAAAUCCAUUAUUUAUUCGUUAUUUAUUUCAUUUGCUUCAUCUUAAUUGCAGCUAUAUAUAUGGUUUCAUGUUCAACACUUUGUUAAUUGCACUAAAGUUUUCAACUUCAACUGAAAACUUUCUGAUGCAAGUCACCAACUGGGUAAACUCAAAGUUGACAAAUUCCCAAUUGGGUAAGCUCAGAGUUCAAAAAUUGUCUUGUAAAAAGUUUUCUUAUAAUUAAAACAACAAAAGCACUCCUAGAAACCAAUCCAAACCAGAUAGAGAAAAAAUAAAAGCAAAAGCAAAAAAUUAUGACCCCAUGACAAUGAAGAUAGAGAAAAAAGUGGAAAGUACAGCUUUCUUUCUGGUCACAAAGAGGAGGACUUAUCAUGGCAAAUUGAAUUAUUGAAGAGCUCUAAAUUAAGUCUUUGUCGUCUGGAAUCUGGAUGCAUAGUCUGAAAACUUUCUGAUGCAAAUCACCAGCUCAAAGUUGACAAAUUCCCAAUUGGGUAAGCUCAGAGUUCAAAAAUUGUCAAUUGAGUAAGCUCAUAUUUCACCCCCUCUCUGAUUAAUGAUGCUCUCUGAUUAAAGAUGGACAAUAUUCACAUUUCAAAGAUAAAAUUGAUUAAAAGAGCAAUUUUUAAAAUGUGUGAACAAAAGUGUAAUAAUUUGUCAAAACGUGCUAACUAACAACCCUUAUAUUAUUCAAGUCAUGUCAUAUCAAAGUUAUAGUAUACUCGUUCGUUCAAAAAAACAAAAAGUUAUAGUAUACUCGUUAUAUGAAAAUUCUUUGUGCUUUAUACAUUUUAAAUUGUACACAUGAAAGUCAUUCAAAACAUAAUAACAGUUGCCAUGCGUUUUCCUGAUCUGCCAAAUGAUCAAGUUUGUUUCUUUGACCUUCGUGUGUUUUGUUAGGUGGUUCCUGCAAUCCCACCUCCCCCCCUCCUCUUUCUUUUUCUGAUUAAUGAAGGGCAUGAACCUUCACAUAUAAAAUUGAUUGAACAGCAGUUUUAAAAAGUGAAUCAAAAGUGCCACAAUUUGUCAAAAGUUGUCCACUAUGAGUCUAUGACUAAUUGCCCCUGUAAUAUUCGAGGAAUGUGAUAUCACAUCAAUGUUGUACUUGUUUUAUGGAAAAUUUUCAUGGCCGUUAUAUAUUAGACUAAGUAAAUGAAUGAAUCAUUCAAAACAUAAAGCUUUUCUAAUUUUUUUUUCUUUGAUGUUAAGUUUCUCUUCAGGCGUUAUUAUGUUAUUUAUUUGAAAUAUUAACUCAAUGGUGAACUAGAUAAGUGAUUCUCGUAGAAAGAAUAUAACGUUCUAACUUUUCUUGUUCGUGGAUUGUCGUGGGGAUACUGGAAUUGCAACUUUUCUAGCAUAUGCUGUUGGUGGAAUACUGACACAAUCGCAAACCUAAUUCUUUUAAAAAAUUGGUUUGUUUUGUAGUUUCUUAUCUUUUAAGUUCUGUUUUGGAGGCAUUUGGUCAUAUGUCACUUUUUCGUGUCUCGUCAUCAAGAUGAGUAAAAUUUAUGUCAUUCUCUCAUUAAGUGUAAUUUUUUUUUCAUUUCAAUAAAGUUUCCUUGUACCACCAAGAUUCUACCAAAACAAAAUGACAAACGAUAGAUAAUAUACACUAAAUUCAUCUAAAUUAUGAGAAAAGAGAAGAAUUUAGACCCAAAACAUAAUAGUUUGAAAAGAAAAACCUCAGCCCAAGAUAACCCACAAUUUGUGAUAUUACACUCCAUCGUGAAAAUCUUGCUCAAUUUUCAUUUCUUAAACAUCUAUUCAGGAUAUGGCAAGUAACCUGUGGAGAUUAGUUACAGCCCUUGUGACUAAACGAUGGUAAAGCUGAAGCAAUCCGCAUGGUAGUAACUUUGGUAAAAUCUGGGGUCGGUAGGAUAAAGAGCCCUGGGGGUGUUUACCAAGGACAAGGAUUCUCUUCUCCUUUUUUCCCAUAUAUUUCCAUCAUCCUUUUGUUUGUGUGGUCACGAUUAAGUUAAGUCUUUUUGUCUUAUUAUCUCUAUAAAAAAUCAAUAUAAAAUAUUGACAUGACUUAACCAUGACCACACAAAUAGGAAAUGAUGGAAGUGUUUGGAAAAAAGAAGGAGAGAAUCCUUGUCCGUUUACCAAUUGCCAUGCGUUUCUUGGUCUCUGCCAAAUUAUCAAUUUUGCUUUCUUUUCUUGUCCUUGGCUCACGAUAAAUAGUACAUUUUAAUUUGCUCAUUACUAUAAAUUAUGAUCUACGUUCAUUAUACAUCUUAAAUUAUGUCAUGUGUCUUUUGAUCCAACUCUAAUUAACUUAUAUAUAUAUAUAUUUUUUUUUUUUUUGAACAAUUGAUAUUAUCUACAUUAAAAGAAUGAUGAACUUAGCCUCACAAUAGACUUGUAAUAAUAUGGUUCAAAUUCACAUUUGGAUAUAAUCAAACCUAAAACCUUUCACUUACCAGUGAAGAGGAAUACCACUAGACCACAAUACUAAAUGACUAAGUAACUUCUAUUAAAUAUUAUUUUUUUAAUUUUGAAAAGUAUUAAAAAAAACAAAAAUAUCCCCUUCUUCUUCAUUCUGGCCCCUCUCUUCCUUCUCCGUAUUAAUAAUUGGACUAUUAUUUGAUAAAAGUGUUUAUCCUUAUUAAUGCUACAUUAUUUAGCUUGUAAAUCUUAUUUACAAAUUUAGUCCCGAUUACCUUUUUUUUAUAACAUAAACAUUAUGACCCCACGACAGUAAAGAGAGAACAAUAAAGAGGAAAGCAACACUUUCUUUCUGGUCACAAGAGGACUUAUCAUGACCAAUUGAAUUACUGAAAGAGCUAUAAAGUCUUUGUCAUCUGGAAUCUGGAUUUGUUGAUUUUAAUAAGCGAUCACUUUCUUUCUGGUCACAAGAGUACUUAUCAUGGCAAAUUGAAUUAUUGAAAGAGCUCUAAAAUCUUUGUCAUCUGGAAUCUGAAUUUGAUGAUUUUCAUAAGCGAUCACAUCGAUGGAAACGCGUCCCUUCAUCUUCUUGGUCAUCCGAAAACUUCAAUUGAUACUGUAAGUUCUUCCAACUAUAUCAAUAUGGGAAAUCCAUUAUUUAUUCAUUAAUUAUUUCAUUUUCUUCUUCUUAAUUGCAGCUAUAUAUAUAUAUGAUUUAAUGUUCAACACCAUGUGCAGUCAUAAGCUCGAGCCUCAAGCUUCCAUGGAACUACUUAAAUCUUAAUUGCACUAAAGUUCUCAACUUCAAGUCUUCAACUGAUCCUCGGAAGCAAGUGUCCUCGUGAUCCGACGACUUUCAUGUAAGUUCUUGCUACACAUUCGGUCUUAUAUCCAUCCGAGUUUCAAGUUGUGUAACUUGUCGUGUCCUAAAUUAAUAGUGUUUCUUAAAUAUGUAAACAAUAUAUAAUUUUUGACAUAUCCGAUUGAGCUCCGGUGCAUCCAUAUAAUUAGUUUCAUUUGCUUAAAUUGUGCAGCUGUGACUACUUGUGAGCCUUGAUUGGUAUUGGUCAGCGGAUCAAACUUAAAUUCUUUCUCUUCUUCCAUAAAAAAUAAUAAUAAAAAAAUAAAAAAAAUAAAAAAAAUUCAAUGCUCAUAGGUCGUAGUAUUGAAGAAAAUUUCUUAAAAUAAAAACAAUAAAAACACUUCUAGUAGAAUUAAUUAAAAUUCAGGGGGUUUCAAAUCAAUUGACUUAAAAAAAAAAAAAAAGCCCAUGAUUAAAGCUAAAACCCAAUCCAUACCAGAUCGCGACCAUUUUUACAUUAACUACAAUAGCAUACAAAAAAUGAAAAAAACUGAACUGAUUACUCACAAAGCAAAAUAAUGUAAUCUAUGUUACAAAGCAUUAUAGCUUUUAACUUUUCUACCAUGUGCUGUUUCUUGUGCUUUGUGCUUUGUGCUGUGCGCUCAGGACAUAAGUUUUUUAUUACACAGGAAAAAGUAGAAGACAAAAUUAUGCCCCGCGGCAACGAAGAGAGAGAGAAAACAAAGAGGAGGAUUUAUCAUAGCACAUUGAACUAUUGAAAGCUCUGAAAUCUUUGUCGUUUGGAAUCUUUGACCCCAGUACGAGAUCAGAUCAGAUCAGAUGGAAUCAAGUCUCUCCAUCUUCAUGAUCAUCUAAAAACUUCAAUUAAUGCAGUAAGUUCUUCUUCCAUUUAUAAUUAUAUGGGAAAUCCAUUAUUUAUUUAAUUAUUUCAUUUUCUUCAUCUUAAUUGCAGGCUUUGUAGCUAUAUAUAUAUUUAUGUGGUUUAAUGUUCAACAGUUUGUGCAGUUUUAAGCUCAACAGCUCAAGCGUCCAGGAAACCACUCAGCCUUAACUGCGCUAAAGUUUUCAACUUCAACUAAAACUUGAUCCCGGGAAGCAAGUGUUCUCUUGAUCUGACGAUCUGUUUCCACGUAAGUUCUCACUACGCAUCUGGUCUUAUUAAUUAAUAAUGUAAUGUGUUUCAAGUUGUGGAACGUGUCACGUUCUAAAUUAAUAAUGUUAUUUUAAAUGUAACAAAUAUAUUAUUUUGUAGUUUCGAAUUUAUCUUUCGUGUUCUGUCUUUCAACUUAAGCAAUUUUAAGUAAAACGUAAUUGAACAUACCAUGUAACUGAACUAAUUGAACAUACCAAUAAUUAGUUUCAUCUGUUUUAAUUGUGCAGCUGUGACUACUUGUGAAUCUUAAUUGGUAUUGCUCCACGGAUCAGACUUCCAGUUCAAGAAACUAUGGCCGCAGAUGCUUUUCUUGGGGCAUUUCUCCGAGUGUUGAUUUGCAAGUUGGCAGAUCGCGAGGUCAUCAGGUACUUUGGACGCGUAAAGGGCAUUGAUAAAAAUCUGAAGAAAUGGAGUGACACCUUGUCUGCAAUUGAAGCGGUUCUGAAUGACGCGGAGGAAAGGCAGCUGAUGGCUGAGAGCACCGCACUGAAGCUCUGGCUCGAUAAUCUCAGGGACUUGGCUUUUGAUGCGGAAGACGUGUUGGAUAAAUGUCAUACUAAAAUGUUGAAACGUCUGAUACAACAUGCUCUCAUUCCAGCACAACAAGCAAAGCAUGGAAAUCAAUUCCUAAUCGCGUUUCCAACUUCAAAACAACAAGCAAAGCAUGGAAAUCAAUUCCUAAUCGUGUUUCCAACUUCAAAAUGAACUCGGAAAUACAGAAGAUUACCAAGCGAUUACAAGUGAUAUCCGAAAGAAAAGACCAGCUUGGUUUGAAAAUUGAUACUGGGACGUUGACUAAAAGGGCACGCCAACUCAUAUCGCCUAGUUCUAGUCUACCAGAUGGACCUGUGAUUGGAAGGGAGGAGGACAAAAGGAAGAUUGUUGAGCUUCUGUUGAAACAGGAGCAUCGGGCUGCCAAUUUCUAUGUUGUUGCAAUUGUCGGUAUGCCUGGAGUCGGAAAGACAACACUUGCUGGACAAGUACUCAAAGAUAUGGUUGCAACCCAAAUGUUUCAACCAGCCGUUUGGGGUGUGCGUGUCUGACGACUUCAACCUUGAAAAGAGUGACAAAGCAAAUUCUUGAAUCAAUCACAUCCCAGCAAUGUACCACAAAAGAUUACAAUAAGGUUCAAAAUGAUCUGCAUAAGAAGUUAGCAGGGAAGAAGUUUUUAAUUGUUUUAGACGAUGUUUGGAAAACGUGUAGCCACGGUGACUGGAAGAAGCUGCAGUCCCCGUUUAUAGAUGGAGCACAUGGAAGCAAGAUAAUUGUGACAACACGUGAUAAAGAUGUUUCAAAAAUGAUGGGAGCUGCUAUGCUGGUUCACAAUCUGAAGCCUAUGGAGGAUGAUGUUUGUUUGCAAGUAUUUGAGCAGCAUGCAUUCUUGAAUGCUAACGACAGACCACCAAACUACGAGUUACUUAGGAAGAAAAUUGUUGCAAGGUGUAGGGGAUCGCCUUUGGCCGCGAGGACCCUCGGUGGCGUUCUACUUUGUAAAGAAAUAAAUGAUUGGGAAGAAACAUUGAGCAACAAGUUGUGGAGUCUGUCAAAGGAGCAUGACAUACUUCGCGUGCUGAGACUAAGUUACUUUUAUCUUCCUUCACAUUUGAAAAGAUGCUUUGCCUAUUGCUCAAUACUUCCAAAUGACUAUGAAUUCGGGGAGAUGCAAAUGAUCCUUCUGUGGAUGGCCGAGGGUUUGAUUCAUCAUCAACCAGAAGAUAAUAAGCAAAUUGAAGAUUUAGGUGCUGAUUAUUUUCGGGAGCUCGUAUCUAGGUCAUUGUUUCAAAAGUCAACCAAAAAUACUUCAAAAUAUGUGAUGCAUGACCUCAUUGGUGAUUUAGCACGAUGGGCAGCUGGAGAUGUUUGUUUUAGAUUGGAGGAUAAGCAAAAUAAUGAUGGUGUACAACCUAUAUGUUUUUCGAAGGCACGCCAUUCGUCUUACCUUAUGGGUGAGUAUGAGGUGGUUAAAAGAUUUGAGGCAAUUUCUGAAGUGAAAUGUUUGCGAACCUUCUUGCCACUGAGAAAGGGUUCUCCCUACAAUUAUUUAGGUCGUCAGGUUACCUUUGAUUUAUUGCCAAAAUUGCAAUACUUGCGGGUGCUCUCUUUUAAUGGCUAUAGAAUAACUGAGCUGCCAAACUCAAUUGGUGAUUUGAGAUAUCUACGGUAUCUUGACCUUUCCUACACAGCUAUAACUAGUUUGCCUAAAUCGACAAGUACUCUUUACAACCUGCAGACAUUGAUAUUGGAAGGCUGUUCAGAUUUGAAGUCAUUGCCUGCAGACAUGAGUAAUCUAGCUAAUUUACGCCAUCUCAACAACUCAGAUGUGUCUUCGUUGGAAGGAAUGCCUCCAAAACUAGGUAGAUUGGUGAAUCUCCAAUCUUUGCCUAAUUUUGUGGUCAGUGCUGGAAGUGAUCAAUCAGGAAUAAGAGAGAUAGGGCCCCUAUCGCAUCUCCAAGGGACAUUGUGCAUCUCAAGAUUGGAGAAUGUGACUGAUGUCGAGGAUGCUCAGUGGGCCAACUUAAAAUACAAGGUGAGGCUUGAUUCGUUGGUCCUAAAAUGGUCACAUUCAAGCGACACAAGAGAAAUGGAAUCUACUGUGCUUGACAUGUUAGAGCCUCAUAGAGAGAUCAAGGAGCUCACCAUCAAGAGUUAUGCCGGGAAGAAAUUUUCAUCAUGGGUUGGAGGUCAUUUGUUCUCUAAUAUGGGGCUUGUGCGCUUAGAGGAAUGUAACAAUUGUUUGUCGUUGCCACCUCUCGGACAAUUGCCUCAACUCAAAGAACUUUAUAUUAGGAGGAAUGAAUGCAGUGGAAAGGGUUGGUGCUGAGUUUUAUGGAGAGCGUAACUUGCCUUUUCGGGUAUUAGAGACUCUUGAUUUUGUGGAAUUGCAGCAUUGGAAGGAAUGGCUUCCUUUCUUACUGGAUCACGAAAGUGGUGCUUUCCCUUGCCUGAAAAGGAUGUCAAUAACAAAAUGUUCUAAACUGGAGGGUAAGCUGCCAGAGAACCUCAAUUCUUUAGCGAAGCUUGAAAUUGUUAAAUGUGAAGAAUUAGUGGUUUCAAUUGCCAACUACAAACAACUUCGUCAGUUAAACAUUGACGGUUGUAAAGUGUUGGUGCAUACAGCUGGUAAGGUUGAGUUUGAGUUAUUAGAGUCCUUGUGGCUUUCAAACAUUUCGGAGGUGAUGUCUCUGGAAACAGGGGAAUUGUUCAAGAAGGGAUUAACCAAGGUUAGUGAUUUGAUGAUUAAUGGAUGUGAGGAGGUGACGUCUUCAUUGAAGAAUGAGGGUAGAUUAUUGCAGCAGUUGACUUCUCUUAAUAGUUUGGAAAUUGAAGACAACUAUCGUCUAGUUGAAGAAUUGGGAAAAGAAGCAGAGGAGUUGCAAAUAUUGGAGUGCAGGCUUGAAUAUCUAAAGUUUAAAAAGUGCGAAAAUCUUUUGAAGCUACCAAAAGGAUUAAAUCAGCUGUCGUCUCUUCAAGAGCUUCGCAUACACGAAUGUUCACGUCUAGUUUCUUUCCCAGAUGUAGGUCUGCCACCUUCUCUUGAAAACGUCGAGAUUAGAGAGUGCCAUUCGUUGAUAUAUUUUGCAAAAUUCCAGAUUCCCCAAAAUCUCAAAAGAAUAGAGAUAAGAAAGUGCAAAAGUUUGAAAUCACUAGUGGAUGAGGAGGCUGUUGGUUCUUCUUGGUCGUCUUCUUCUCAUAUUUGUCUUGAGUACUUGAAGAUCGAAGGAUGUGAAUCUCUGACGUCGUUAUCAUUGAGUGGCCAGCUUCUCAGGACACUUAAACACCUUGAGAUACUUGGUUGUGAACAACUGGAGCUAAUCGCAGAGGACGGGUUCUUCCACGACAACACUAAUUAUUGUCUUGAAUACCUUAAUCUCUGGAAGUGCCAAAAUCUGAAAUCCUUACCGGAUGGCUUAUGCCACCUCAGCAAUCUGAGAAAGCUAUAUAUUCAAGAUUGUGGAAGUCUUGUUUCUUUCCCGAGACUGAGCGGGGGGAGACUACCCUCCAACCUGAGAGAGAUCCAGAUCACCAGUUGCGAGAAAUUGGAGGCGUUGCCUGAAGACAUGCACAAUCUCAACUCUCUUGAGGAAUUGAGGAUCGAGUACCGUGAAGGUUUGACUUUUCCUUCCAACCUCACGUUUCUUGAAAUUUGGAAGGUAAGGAGCUGUAAGUCAUUUUGGGAGUUGGAAUGGGGGUUGCACAGACUCACCUCUCUUAGAUACUUGUGGAUCGGAGGUGAAGACCCGGAUACGGUGUCGUUUCCACCCGACAUGGUCCGGAUGGAGACGCUCAUUCCCAUAUCUCUUACUCACCUCACAAUAAAAGGCUUCCCGAAUCUGAAGAAACUGAGCAGUAAAGGCUUUCAACUCCUCACCUCCCUUCAAUCUCUGCAUCUCUGGAAUUGUCCAAAGCUAGCAUCCAUUCCAGAGGAGGGUCUGCCUCCUUCACUAGAGCGACUUACCAUCUCUGAGUGCCCAAUGCUAAAAGAGAGAUGCCAACCAGGAAAAGGACGCUACUGGCAAAAUAUCCCACAUCCCUAAAAUACAGAUCGAUUGACAGCCGAUUUGAAGCUGAUAGUUGAUUCGAUCCCAUUCUCUAGGUCCAGGUAUCAUCUUCUCAAGGAAUGUUUUGUUAUUAUUAUUAUUAUCCACAAUAUUUGUUUUUUAUUUUUUUUAAAUUUAUGUCCUUCAUGUGGCUGAAGAUUUUCGGGGUUUCAUGAGUGGCUGCUUUGGGAGACCUUCAUUUGGCUCACACAGUAGAGCUGGUUCUGUCUUGCUUUGAGGGCGAUUCUUUGACGACAACAACCAUGGCUAUUUCUGGGCCAAGGUUUCUUCUCUCGCGUUCCUCGCAACACUAGUUUAUUUGGAGCCCAUGGGAUCUCAGAUCGAGUUGAGUGAGCAGGAUAGUUUUGUUGAAUUUGAAUAUGAUUUCCUGGCGUGGGGGGCAGAGGACUGGAAAAACUGGGAAUCUGGUGUGGUGGGAAAAAAAAAUGCAUGAAAUCGUUUGAUCUUGAAGGGACCAUUUGGAUCUCCACAUGGCCAAUCCUUGGAUUUGAUUGGUUCUGAUGAUACAAAAGCCUGAGCUUGACGGGUUCGUUAUGCAAACAGAUGAUGAACCAACUAGCAUUGCUGGAAAGGGAAAUAGCUUUGACGAGUGAGGAUAGUCAUAGUUGCUCGAGAAAGAAACUUUAUGAUAUUGGUCAGGCGUUUUAUGGAAGGUCAAGAGGGUGUGGAUAUGAGGACCAUAUAAGUUGCAUAAUUUUCCACAUCUCUACCAGUCUCUUCCAACUGGGCUUCUAGAGGGUGUGGAUAUGAGGACCAUGAAUGGUGCUGUCAAGCAAUUAGAGGAUGGUCUGAAACUUGAGCGGUCAAGAAUGGAGCAGGAGAAUAUGAAGCAGUUGGAGCUGCAGAAAAUGGAAAGAAGAAGAGAGGAAGAAAAAAGAGGCUGAUAUGGCAUCAAAGAAGAGACAAAGGGAAUAGGAAGAAAGGAAGGAGAAGGAAAGAAAAAGAAUGCGUGUUGAAGCUCGUAGACAGCGGAGAGAACAUGAAGACAAGUUACCUGCUGAAAAACUAGAGAAAGAAAUGAAAAACCACUCCACUGUAUGAUUCUUUAUGCUCUGCCUCAUUUCAUAUAUAUUUUGCAAUGUUAGAUUUCACAUUCUAUAUUGGGCUUUCUUGUAUAGGAUGGAAGAAGCCCUGGCGGUAAGAAAUUUAAAAUGGACAAAGAAAGGGGAUUUGACAAUUCCAGAAAUAUUUUGGAGACUGAGCCUAGUACUUCCAGGAUUUCAAUAAGCAAUGCCAGAAGAAAAUAUUAUCCACGAAAAGUUCCAUGAGGCCUCGAGUAGUUAUGGAUAUAAAGCAGAGGUAAAUGCUAAUGACUUUUUAACAAUCGAUACCCGCCAUAUCUUAGGAUCUAGUUGCAUAUGUUGAGUGCUUUUACUUGCAUAGGCAGGAGCAGAGUGAUAAACUGUGAGCAUAGCAUGAAUUAUAAUCCUCUGUUGUUGAAGUUUGCAUACGACCUCUAAAUUUGUUGGGUUGAACCUAUUUUGAGGCCUUCUUUAUACCAGGAAAUAGGGCUACACUCGCCUAAGUGCAAGAGUUCUCUUCUUUUAAAACUCCUAAUAGCUUAUUGUAAACUCAAGUCUGAACCACCUUUAGAAAGUUUUUCAAGUCUGAACCACCUUUAGAAAGUUUUCUUAUUCAUGAAUAGCUGCAUGCUGUUGUGCACUUUUACCUUGUCUGUAAAGCCUCUCGCUGAUACUUCCUGUGAUAUUUAAGGUACCUAGCAAUUUAGACAGAGAAAUGGAGAAUUCACUUGGCAUUACAAGUCAAGUGCAGUAUUAUGACAUCUCUGCAUACAAAGAAUCUGAUGAUGAAAACGACGAUGACGAUAAUGUCAUACCAAAUAGUAAAUUUAUUCCUUCAUGGUUAAGGUAUGUUUUUCAAUUGUUAUAUAUGAAAUAUGAUCUUCAAGUUAAAGAGCGUCACAAUCAUCUUGGUGAUAUGUAUCUUUAGCGAAAGGCAUAGAUUGUGUACCCUUUGAAAGUGUCAACUCAGCUGCGCUAUAAAAUAUCUGUUGUUUGGUUCUUGUUUUGUGCAGUAAAAACUGCCUGGCUUUUGCCGUUUCUAGCCAGAAUAGAGCAGAUCCAAAGACGAUAUUCGCCCCCCCCCCCCCCCCCCCCCCCCCCCCCCCCCCCCCCAGAAAGCUUUUGCUGCAUCUCUGAAGGUACUUUUAUGGUUUAAAGUCCCGAUCUUCGUAGCUAUUGCAUUGGCAUUUUGGCUGGUCAAUUUUUAGAUACUGCUGGACUAAGUUCCAAUAUGCUCAUUUGCAGUCCUCUUGCCCGAAAAGCAUCAAUUAAACAACAGCGGAAUGUGCUAAACUCUAUUCAGUAUAUUCCUCAGUAAUAAGAGCUUUUGAUCAUGAAGAGGUAAUGUUUACCUUUAUUGAUUAUUCUCAUUUUUCCUCUCCAUGCUCUAAACUACAUUUACGCUGCCAGUUUGGUUGUUAAAGGAGCAAUUUUCCUUCUGCGAAAUGUAAAAUGCCUUUAGUUACUGCCUAUCAAACCAAAAUACUUGUAGUAAUUGGUUUUUAUUUCUCGUUGCAGAUUUUCAAAGUCUAUUUGUGAACAGUUUCUUGAGCAGGCAACACCCUUCCAAGCCGAAAUGUAGCUGAAACGUGUAGAACUUUUUUUUUUAAUUUUUUUAUUUUUAUAUAUAGGAGUCUGUUGUAACUUAUCUCAGAUAAUUUGCAGUGUGAUUGUAGUUAAGAAGAGUAACAAGUUCCAUUGGCAGAAGGGCAAUUGCAUGAGCUAUUGAGUAAUUUGGUCAGCAUCUCCUGCUGCCUUGUUUUUUCUUUGGCACCGCCACUUUGGUCGGCAUUGGUUUCAGUUUUACUUUUAGCCCUCCUGAAGGAUGAUAAGAGAAGGCUAGAAAAAGUAUGUAUUUUGCAUGUUGAGUGCUUUUACUUGCAUAGUCUGGAGCAGAGUGAUAAACUGUGAGCGUAGCAUGAAUUAUAAUCCUCUGUUGAUGUAGUUUGCAUGGGACCUUUAAGCUUGUUGGGUUUUAACUCUUUUGUGGCCUUCCUUUUGCUAUCGUUACCACAAUAUAGGAAAGAAGGCUACAAUCGACUAAGUGCAAGAGUUUUCUUAUGUUAAAACUCCUAAUAGCUUAUUGUAAACUCAAAUCUGAACCACUGGUAGAAACUGCCGGGCUCCAAAAUAAUCUAUUGUUUGGUUCUUGUUUUGUACAGUAAAAACUGCCUGGCUUUUGCCGUUUCUUGCCAGAAUAGAGCAGACCCAGCGACGAUCUUCCCCCGAGAAAGCUUUUGCUGCAUCUCUGAAGGUACUUUUAUGGUUUAAAGCCAUGGUCUUAGUAGCUAUUGCUUUGGCAUUUUUGGCUAAUCAAUUUUUAGAUACUGCUGGACUAAGUUCCAAUAUGUGGGCACACGAGAAAGGAUAAGAUUAGGAAUGAGGAUAUCCGGGGUAAAGUAGGAGUAGCCGAAAUUGAAGGAAAGAUGAGAGAAAAUCGGUUACGGUGGUUUGGACAUGUGCAAAGAAGGCCUACUGACGCUCCGAUUAGAAGAUGCGACUAUGGGACACAGGUUCAGGGCCGAAGGGGUAGAGGAAGACCUAGGAAAACUUUGGAAGAGACUCUAAGAAAAGACUUAGAGUACUUGGAUCUAACGAAGGACAUGACACAGGACCGAGCACAAUGGCGUUCUAAGAUUCAUAUAGCCGAUCCCACUCAGUGACUUGGAUUUUCCAAGUCUCCAACCGAGAAGUUUUCCUCAUUCGGGAAAUUAAGGGAACACUACCUCAACCUACAUGCUCCACUCACAAAGCUUCAACAUACAAGCUUCAAUAAAAGAAAAUUCAAAGAACUUAGCGAAGAAGGCUUUGGUGUAUUUAACACAAACGUUGAAAUGAAGGAAAGCUUAUUUAUUGAUAUUCCCGAUAAGAUACAAAUAUGUACAUAUACAUAAGUCAAAAUAAACAAACAAGAGGGAGUCUUCACAAAGGUUGCUUAGGAGAAGUCUCAGCAGUCGGUAGCCCCAGAAAGAGAAGGCACCGGAGGGGGAUCAUUCAGAGCCUCAGUACUGGACAGAAUCCUAGAAGGAGGAGGAAUCAGAGGUUGAUCAUUUGGAGCUUCAUUACGCGGUACAGCCCCAGAAGAUGAAGGCAAUAAAUGCUUUUGGAUUAAACCCACAAAUCUUUGAUGAUCAAGUAAAACCUGACCAUCAGAUUCCUUCAUCUGGUCAAGCUUCCUCUUCAUGUUUGUAGCAUAGUCAUGGGCGAGCUGGUGCAACUGUUUAUUCUCAUGCUUAAGCCCUCUAAUCUCCUGUUUGAGACUCAUCUUUUCAGCCGCCAAUGAUUCAACUUGGCAGGUUCGAGCAAAUAGGCGUUGGGCCAUAUUAGACACAGAACCUGCACACUGAACACUGAGAACUGGCGAAUCCUUAACAGCUAACUCAUCAGACCGUUUGGAAAGUAGUCUGUUAUCUUUGGGAGUGAGAAGGUUCCUGGCCACCACCGCAGCGGUCAUAUCAUUCUUCAUUACGGAAUCCCCAACGGUAAGAGGACCAGUAGGGGAGACGAAGGAUGGGCGCCAUAUGUUGUCUGGAGAAGGCGGGGCUGCCUCUUCAACAAGGUUCAAGUCAAAACGACGGUCGGAAGGGCCAGACAUUUUCAAAGGUGUUGAAGAGAGAAGAGGUCGGACAAAUCAAGAUCUUAGAAGUGCAAGAAUGGAGCUUCUACUGGUGGAUUUCAAGUGUGCUUUAGAACUUAAUGCCAGCCCUUAUAAAAAUCUGCACUCGACGGAGCUUUAGAAAUCGAAGAGGCGUUUGCUUUCUCAAAAGCUGGGCUGCUCAGAGACCACGAGGGUUGAUCUCAGAAAUCGAAGAGGCGUUUGCUUUCUCAAAAGCUGGGCUGCUCAAAGACCACGAAGGCCAAUCUCAGAAAUCGAAGAGGCGCUCGCUUUCUCAAAAGCUGGGCUACUCAGAGACCACGAGGGCCGAUCUCAGAAAUCGAAGAGGCACCUACUUUUCCAGCCUUGUCAGCACCUGUCACACGCACACUCAACUUUGCGGAAAUUAUGGGCAUUCUGUCGAAGACUUCUGGUAAAGUAGAAAACACAUGAACCUUACUGCUCAAUCACCCACUUCCCACACGCAACAAUAGCUCAUGGGUACCACAGAUAACUUUGCCAAAGUUCUCUGCCAAAGUUGAGCACGUGAAGCUUGCAGCUCCUACUACAUCGCUCUAACCAAGAAGGGUAAAAGAAUAGUAAAGAAACAGCACUAACAAAGUUUAGACACAUAAAUUUUGAAGGCCUAGCUACCAUAUUAUUACCCACAAGGGUAAAGGAACAGUACCACUGCUGGAUAAUUGGAAAGUCCCUGUGUGUCAACCUCUGUGCUUCGUGGCAAGGUAGACUAGCAAACAUGCCCAACAUUUACUCACAUUCGAGAAAACUCCCAACAAGAUUGCUUGCUCCAAAAUCGAAGAGGCACCGUCCUCCGAAUCUCGGGAGCCAGACUCCCAACAUGACUACUGUCUCAAAAAUCGAAGAGAGGGUAAGGGAACAGUACCAUUGCUGGAUAAUUGGAAAGUCCCUGUGUGUCAACCUCUGUGCUUCGUGGCAAGGUAGACUAGCAAACAUGCACAACCUUUACUCACAUUCGAGAAAACACUCCCAACAAGAUUGCUUGCUCCAAAAUCGAAGAGGCACCGCCCUCCGAAUCUCGAGAACCAGACUCCCAACAUGAUUACUUUCUCAAAAAUCGAAGAGACACCGCUCUCCGAAUCUCGAGAGCCACACCCCCAGCGCGAUUACUUUCUCAAAAAUCGAAGAGGCAUUGUUCUCCGAAUCAAUCGAAGAGGUGCUCGCUUUCUCAAAAGCUGGGCUGCUCAGAGACCACGAGGGCCGAUCUCAGAAAUCGAAGAGGCACCUACUUUUCCAGCCUUGUCAGCACCUAUCACACGCACACUCAACUUUGCGGAAAUUAUGGGCAUUCUGUCGAAGACUUCUGGUGAAGUAGAAAGCACAUGAAUCUUACUGUUCAAUCACCCACUUCCCACACACAACAAUAGCUCAUGGGUACCACAGAUAACUUUGCCAAAGUUCUCUGCCAAAGUUGAGCACGUGAAGCUUGCAGCUCCCACUACAUCGCUCUGACCAAGAAGGGUAAAAGAAUAGCAAAGAAACAGCACUAACAAAGUUUAGACACAUAAAUUUUGAAGGUCUAGCUACCAUAUUAUUACCCACAAGGGUAAAGGAACAGUACCACUGCUGGAUAAUUGGAAAGUCCCCGUGUGUCCACCUCAGUGCUUCGUGGCAAGGUAGACUAGUAAACAUGCCCAACCUUUACUCACUUUCGAGAAAACACUCCCAACCAGAUUGCUUGCUCCAAAAUCCACCGUCCUCCGCAUCUCGAGGGCCAGACUCCCAACAUGACUACUUUCUCAAAAAUCGAAGAUGGUAAAGGAACAGUACCAUUGCUGGAUAAUUGGAAAGUCCCUGUGUGUCAACCUCUGUGCUUCGUGGCAAGGUAGACUAGCAAACAUGCCCAACCUUUACUCACAUUCGAGAAAACACUCCCAACAAGAUUGCUUGCUCCAAAAUCGAAGAGGCACCGCCCUCCAAAUCUCGAGAGCCAGACUCCCAACAUGAUUACUUUCUCAAAAAUCGAAGAGACACUGCUCCCCGAAUCUUCGAGAGCCAGACCCCCAGCAUGAUUGCUUUCUCAAAAAUCGAUGAGGCAUCGUUCUCCGAAUCAAUCGAAGAGGCGCUCGCUUUCUCAAAAGCUGGGCUGCUCAGAGACCACGAGGGCCGAUCUCAGAAAUCGAAGAGGCACCUACUUUUCUAGCCUUGUCAGCACCUGUCACACGCACACUCAGCUUUGCAGAAAUUAUGGGCAUUCUGUCGAAGACUUCUGGUGAAGUAGAAAGCACAUGAAUCUUACUGUUCAAUCACCCACUUCCCACACACAACAAUAGCUCAUGGGUACCACAGAUAACUUUGCCAAAGUUCUCUGCCAAAGUUGAGCACGUGAAGCUUGCAGCUCCCACUACAUCGCUCUGACCAAGAAGGGUAAAAGAAUAGCAAAGAAAUAGCACUAACAAAGUUUAGACACAUAAAUUUUGAAGGUCUAGCUACCAUAUUAUUACCCACAAGGGUAAAGGAACAGUACCACUGCUGGAUAAUUGGAAAGUCCCCGUGUGUCCACCUCAGUGCUUCGUGGCAAGGUAGACUAGUAAACAUGCCCAACCUUUACUCACUUUCGAGAAAACACUCCCAACCAGAUUGCUUGCUCCAAAAUCCACCGUCCUCCGCAUCUCGAGGGCCAGACUCCCAACAUGACUACUUUCUCAAAAAUCGAAGAGGGUAAAGGAACAGUACCAUUGCUGGAUAAUUGGAAAGUCCCUGUGUGUCAACCUCUGUGCUUCGUGGCAAGGUAGACUAGCAAACAUGCCCAACCUUUACUCACAUUCGAGAAAACACUCCCAACAAGAUUGCUUGCUCCAAAAUCGAAGAGGCACCGCCUUCCGAAUCUCGAGAGCCAGACUCCCAACAUGAUUACUGUUUCAAAAAUCGAAGAGACACCGCUCUCCGAAUCUCGAGAGCCAGACCCCCGCAUGAUUGCUUUCUCAAAAAUCGAAGAGGCAUCGUUCUCCGAAUCUCGAGAGCCAGAUCCUCGAUAGGAUUGCUUGUUCGAAAAUCGAAGAGGCACCACUUUCCCAACUUCAAGAGCCGGAUCUCCUUGGAUAAAGCUUGUCUGUAAUCUUCACACGCAACAUCAGCUUUCUAGAUACCACAGACCACUUUUUCAAAGUGCUCUGACAGAGUUAAAACAUGUGAAGCUGGCAGCUCCCACUACCGUGCUAUGACCAAGCAGGGUAAAGGAAUAGCAUUACUACUUGUUGUUAGGGAAACUCCUAUAUAUGUCGACCUUCAUCCCUAACGGACAGGCAGACCUGCAAAAAUGCUCAACCCUUCCUUAUAUCUGAGAGGGCACUCCCAACGAAGCCUUUCGAAAUAUUCAGCUUUCUUCCCCCCGAUAAUACCUCUGCAAACAAGCUAUACUAGAGCAAGAAUAUCUCAUAUCAUCAGGGUUAAAAGCAAGAGUAUCCCAUAUCAUGCUUUUUCCCUGUCUUUUCCUUUGGCCUUGUUCUUACCUGCAAGACAAGGAGAAAGAGAGCAAUCAGUCAGCACUUGGAAUCAAGCUUCCAGCCAGGAACUGACUGCCUGGAACCCCUUACCUGAUUACUUACCUGGCAUUGCUCUUGAGUACUCAUCUUCAACAUCUUAUGCUCCCAGGGAAGAUACCGCAUAUGCCUGAGGAACAGAUAGGGCAAGUGAGAAGGAUACAAGGAAGCAUAUGGAGACAAGCGUAACAGCACACGUGCCGAUACAUCCAUUACUCUGUCAAAAGCAAAAGUAUCCCAUAUCAGCAAGGUCGAACAUACUCUAGAUUUGAUGGACUUGUUUUGACCCUCAAAUUCUUCAGUCGGCCUUAUACACUGGAGGAAACCAGAAAACCCUCCAGCUCAGUUCAAGAAUAAGCCUGUGGAAAGUUACUUCUUCAAAAGCAAAAGUAUCCCAUAUCAUCUCUUCUCAUUUUUCUUCUCUUUAUCCUUCAUGCUGCCUGCAAGAUAAGGAGAAUGUGAACAAUCAGCCGGAGCUCUGAUUGCUUACCUUGUCUGUCACCUCUUUCAGCAGAUCCCCUAGCUCGGCGACUUGGGGACUCCUACUACAUGGUUUGUAUCGCGCUUGACCAAGCUUGAAACUACAAGUAAGCUUCAAGUGAAAUUGAUACAUUACCUUGUGCAUCUCCACCAGUUACAGAUACCACCCCUGGAUGGAGGAAGAGUACUUCCAGAGAAGAUGCCACAUCUACCUAUGAGACAGAUAAGGCAAGUCAAGACGAUACCACACUCCGGUACUUAGAAGUUUCGUGGUUACGAGAUCAUUCUCCCACAAUAUUUCCUAAUGUCAUUUGUACUAAAUCAUUCACUUGUACUCACUAAAGGAGAGCUUGAACCUACGUACUUGUGUAAACCCUUCACAAUUAAUGAGAACUCCUCUAUUCCGUGGACGUAGCCAAUCUGGGUGAACCACGUGCAUCUUGUGUUUGCUUUCCUAUCUCUAUCCAUUUAUAUACUUAUCAACACUAAUGACCGGAGCAAUCUAGCGAAGAUCACAAAAAGUGACCGUUUUCGCUACCUAGGAUCUAUCUUGCAGGAGAACGGAGAAUUAGAUGGAGAUCUCAACCAUAGAAUACAAGCUGGAUGGAUGAAGUGUAAGAGUGCAUCCGGCGUGUUGUGUGACCGUCGUAGGCCACUGAAGCUCAAGGGAAAAUUUUAUAGGACGGCAAUAAGGCCAACGAUGUUGUAUGGCACAGAAUGUUGGGCGGUGAAGCAUCAACACGUACACAAAAUGGGUGUAGCGGAGAUGAGGAUGCUUCGUGGGAUGUAUGGGCACACGAGAAAGGAUAAGAUUGGGAAUGAGGAUAUCUGAGGUAAAGUAGGAGUAGCCAAAAUUGAAGGAAAUAUGAGAAAAAAUCGGUUCCGGUGGUUUGGACAUGUGCAAAGAAAGCAUAUUGACGCUCCGGUUCGAAAAUGUGACUACGGGACAGAGGUUCAGGGCCGAAGGGGUAGAGGAAGACCUAGGAAAACUUUGGAAGAGACCCUAAGAAAAGACUUGAGUACUUGGAUCUAACGGAGGACAUGACACAAAACCGAGCGCAAUGGAGUUCUAGGAUUCAUAUAGCCGACCCCACUUAGUGGGAAAAGGCUUUGUUGUUGUUGUUGUUGUUUGACUAGAGCAGUGUACUUACUUUUUUGCACCCAAGUUGAAUUUAGUAUAAAUUAUUCUAUGGUUUGGAAAUGGAAAUAAAAAAAAUAAAAAAAGUCAAUUCAUGAAUAAUUCAAUGUAACGGAGUGUUUAAACGCAAAACUUGAGCGAGACAUUAGCGGAAUGAUAGUUUCAAUCCCGACCACAAAUUUGCUACACCAACU
RNAcentral lists this long non-coding RNA (36069 nucleotides) under Malus domestica (apple). Its description in RNAcentral is "long non-coding RNA (MDOM_LNC009888)". The record is from RNAcentral. Lineage: Eukaryota; Viridiplantae; Streptophyta; Magnoliopsida; Rosales; Rosaceae.